GCCCUUGUAGCUCAACGGUUAGAGCAGCAGACUCAUAAUCUGUUGGCUGUAGGUUCGAAUCCUACCGAGGGCA
This 73-nucleotide transfer RNA is filed under the name Pseudomonadota bacterium. Its description in RNAcentral is "tRNA-Ile". It matches the Rfam family "tRNA". Rfam says of the family: Transfer RNA (tRNA) molecules are approximately 80 nucleotides in length. Their secondary structure includes four short double-helical elements and three loops (D, anti-codon, and T loops). Lineage: Bacteria; Pseudomonadati; Pseudomonadota. RNAcentral also lists the same sequence under 5 other names. The record is from RNAcentral.